AGGGGAGUGAAAAAGAACCUGAAACCGUGUACGUACAAGCAGUGGGAGCACGCUUAGGCGUGUGACUGCGUACCUUUUGUAUAAUGGGUCAGCGACUUAUAUUCUGUAGCAAGGUUAACCGAAUAGGGGAGCCGAAGGGAAACCGAGUCUUAACUGGGCGUUAAGUUGCAGGGUAUAGACCCGAAACCCGGUGAUCUAGCCAUGGGCAGGUUGAAGGUUGGGUAACACUAACUGGAGGACCGAACCGACUAAUGUUGAAAAAUUAGCGGAUGACUUGUGGCUGGGGGUGAAAGGCCAAUCAAACCGGGAGAUAGCUGGUUCUCCCCGAAAGCUAUUUAGGUAGCGCCUCGUGAAUUCAUCUCCGGGGGUAGAGCACUGUUUCGGCAAGGGGGUCAUCCCGACUUACCAACCCGAUGCAAACUGCGAAUACCGGAGAAUGUUAUCACGGGAGACACACGGCGGGUGCUAACGUCCGUCGUGAAGAGGGAAACAACCCAGACCGCCAGCUAAGGUCCCAAAGUCAUGGUUAAGUGGGAAACGAUGUGGGAAGGCCCAGACAGCCAGGAUGUUGGCUUAGAAGCAGCCAUCAUUUAAAGAAAGCGUAAUAGCUCACUGGUCGAGUCGGCCUGCGCGGAAGAUGUAACGGGGCUAAACCAUGCACCGAAGCUGCGGCAGCGACGCUGAUGCGUUGUUGGGUAGGGGAGCGUUCUGUAAGCCUGCGAAGGUGUGCUGUGAGGCAUGCUGGAGGUAUCAGAAGUGCGAAUGCUGACAUAAGUAACGAUAAAGCGGGUGAAAAGCCCGCUCGCCGGAAGACCAAGGGUUCCUGUCCAACGUUAAUCGGGGCAGGGUGAGUCGACCCCUAAGGCGAGGCCGAAAGGCGUAGUCGAUGGGAAACAGGUUAAUAUUCCUGUACUUGGUGUUACUGCGAAGGGGGGACGGAGAAGGCUAUGUUGGCCGGGCGACGGUUGUCCCGGUUUAAGCGUGUAGGCUGGUUUUCCAGGCAAAUCCGGAAAAUCAAGGCUGAGGCGUGAUGACGAGGCACUGCGGUGCUGAAGCAACAAAUGCCCUGCUUCCAGGAAAAGCCUCUAAGCAUCAGGUAACAUCAAAUCGUACCCCAAACCGACACAGGUGGUCAGGUAGAGAAUACCAAGGCGCUUGAGAGAACUCGGGUGAAGGAACUAGGCAAAAUGGUGCCGUAACUUCGGGAGAAGGCACGCUGAUAUGUAGGUGAAGUCCCUCGCGGAUGGAGCUGAAAUCAGUCGAAGAUACCAGCUGGCUGCAACUGUUUAUUAAAAACACAGCACUGUGCAAACACGAAAGUGGACGUAUACGGUGUGACGCCUGCCCGGUGCCGGAAGGUUAAUUGAUGGGGUUAGCGCAAGCGAAGCUCUUGAUCGAAGCCCCGGUAAACGGCGGCCGUAACUAUAACGGUCCUAAGGUAGCGAAAUUCCUUGUCGGGUAAGUUCCGACCUGCACGAAUGGCGUAAUGAUGGCUAGGCUGUCUCCACCCGAGACUCAGUGAAAUUGAACUCGCUGUGAAGAUGCAGUGUACCCGCGGCAAGACGGAAAGACCCCGUGAACCUUUACUAUAGCUUGACACUGAACAUUGAGCCUUGAUGUGUAGGAUAGGUGGGAGGCUU
RNAcentral lists this ribosomal RNA (1640 nucleotides) under Escherichia coli. RNAcentral's name for it is "partial 23S ribosomal RNA". It matches the Rfam family "Bacterial large subunit ribosomal RNA", at positions 532 to 2157 of the family's 2925-position model. Lineage: Bacteria; Pseudomonadati; Pseudomonadota; Gammaproteobacteria; Enterobacterales; Enterobacteriaceae. The record is from RNAcentral.